Molecule: ribosomal RNA, 390 nt
Filed under: Klebsiella pneumoniae
Lineage: Bacteria; Pseudomonadati; Pseudomonadota; Gammaproteobacteria; Enterobacterales; Enterobacteriaceae
Description: bacterial SSU rRNA
Rfam family: Bacterial small subunit ribosomal RNA
Source: RNAcentral
GGCCGGGAACUCAAAGGAGACUGCCAGUGAUAAACUGGAGGAAGGUGGGGAUGACGUCAAGUCAUCAUGGCCCUUACGACCAGGGCUACACACGUGCUACAAUGGCAUAUACAAAGAGAAGCGACCUCGCGAGAGCAAGCGGACCUCAUAAAGUAUGUCGUAGUCCGGAUUGGAGUCUGCAACUCGACUCCAUGAAGUCGGAAUCGCUAGUAAUCGUAGAUCAGAAUGCUACGGUGAAUACGUUCCCGGGCCUUGUACACACCGCCCGUCACACCAUGGGAGUGGGUUGCAAAAGAAGUAGGUAGCUUAACCUUCGGGAGGGCGCUUACCACUUUGUGAUUCAUGACUGGGGUGAAGUCGUAACAAGGUAACCGUAGGGGAACCUGCGGU